GCCGGCGGUAACACUUCGAAUGCUCUAGUUACCAAUGGAUCACUGAAGUUAACCAAUGUUGCACAUGGUUGUUAUCUGAGAAGGUGACUAUUUGGGCAUUCGCGUGCUGCUGGCU
This 115-nucleotide ribosomal RNA is filed under the name Diaphorina citri (Asian citrus psyllid). The record is from RNAcentral. Lineage: Eukaryota; Metazoa; Arthropoda; Insecta; Hemiptera; Psyllidae.